Non-coding RNA from Zootermopsis nevadensis, 6688 nucleotides. Lineage: Eukaryota; Metazoa; Arthropoda; Insecta; Blattodea; Termopsidae. The record is from RefSeq and is a predicted model, not a curated record.
AGACGCAUUAUGUCAUAUGGCAUGUAGGAAAGUAAUAUAUUCUAAAAUUUUUGUAUUAAUUAUUACUCAGUUCAGAAAUCGUUAUUAGGCUGCAAUCUAAACUUUUCAAAGUUGUUUGCUAAGAUAAUCUUUUGGGCCCAAACCAUAUUAUCUUGGUACACAAAGGAUUUUUAUUAUAAUCAAGACAGUUGUCUUUUAGUUUCUAAAGGAUACGACUUGCUGAAUUACAGUUCUUUGCUUUAAAUCAACAGUUUUUAAGAACUGGCCCGAGGUAACUUAAUCCAUAUCAACGUGGAAUAUGAUUUAUUUCCACAAUGAAAGUCAGUCUACAAACGUUUCUGCGCCCUAAUGUUGAAUGUCACGCUAAUUUGAAUUUAAAAGACGUUUGCAGGAAUGGAAGGGCGAGUUUGAAGUUGGGGUGAUCCCAAACUCUUUGAAAGACAAACAGACACAGAGCAUGCGCACGCUUGCCAACACAUUUUAUAUCAUUCCUUUUAUGUUUCUUUUUCGUGUCCUCUCACCCUAGAGGGAAACAAGUUUGUUAUUUUAGGAUUUGGUUUCUUUGAGAUGAGAGAGUUGGUAAGAAAACAGUGCUAUAAACUUGAUUGAUUCUCAUAAAAUCUUAGCUUUCUUUCCGCAAGAAUAUUUUGAUGUCUGGAAUUGUGUGUGCAUUUAUGUAGUUCUGAUCCUGUGGCUUUUUGGUAUUGUAUUUUUUACACUUGCGUUUUCUGUUUUCAGUGAAUUAUGUCAAUUUAAUUGAAGUUAGACUGGAAAUUUCCAUUUUAGUGCACAUUUUGGGGUUAUAGGUAAGUCUUUUUGGAUAAAUAUUUUGGAAAUUUUAUUACAGACGUCCAGUUUCGUAAUGAAGUGGACAACUCUGUUUCCAUUUAUAUGUCAAAUAUUCGAAAUUACAAGCUUUAUUGUACUAUUAUUGAACGGAACACGAAUAAAAAUGCAGAAAAUCAAUUUAUUUUUCUUCUGAAUUAUUCAACAUUUGAUAGUGAAAUUAAUUACUCCCCAAUAUCACCCAUCAAUCUUAGCAACUUUUGUUUCGUCCCUAAGCUCAUAUCGACCAGGGUUCGAUUUCUGAUAGGGUCAAUGACUUAUUUUUAUCUUAGCUCAGUCGGGAUAACGAUGACUACGGGCUGGACUACCGGGGUUCGCUCCCCGACGUGGGCAGAGGACUUUUCCUCUAGCCUCUGCGUUCAGACCGGCUCUGGGGCUCACCCAUCCUCCUAUCCAAUAGGUACCAGGGUCCCUUCCCGGGGGUAGAGCUCGGCCGGGGCGUGACCCUAACCACUCACCCUUAUCUAGUGCCGACGUCAAGAAUGAGUAGAAGCGAUACCACCUCUCCCCUGUGCGUUUACAUGGCGCGUAAUUUUUUACCGAGUCCAUGCCGACUUUGGGACUUCAACGGGUAUUUGGGGAUCUUUUAUUUUGGGUAGAGUCGCCAGAGUGUGAAGGCGACUGUCUAGUACGAACGUUAAGAAUACAUGGACCUUUGCCGCCACUUUUCCAUACAUCCUUAUGAUUUGGUGUUUAAUUAAGCACAGAGAUACCUUUGAGUCUACUAGAGGAACAAAUAGUCCGCACUGUACUUGCAACCAAAAACAUAAAUUAGAAUUGGUUUCAAUUAUUAUUACAUUAUAAUUGAUUUUGUAAUUUUUUUAUUAGAUUCCUGUACACGCUGUGGUACAAGUACUCACUGUCAGUACUUUUUUUUUAUUUUUGCACUUUUGCAGAACUCGUUUCUCCUUAAAUUCCUGGGAGAGGACUUAGCACUAUCAAAAGCCUUCCUUUAAUUACAUUUAGCCCUGAGCAGAUCCUUUUAUAUGCCUCAGAGGCUUUUGGAAAGAAAGUUAUCUGCCUUCACUGUGCUUCACCGUUUCUACUUCAUCUUACGGAAGUCUGCAUCAUUUUUGAACUUAAUUUGCAGUCAUUAAUCAUGUCGCAGAUUUCAUGACACUUUUGGAAAUGAGAAAAGUUAUUUCUUCUCUUUUUAUAUUUUACGUUAUUUUUAUGUUUUGAAGUCAUUCGUUUCGCAGAAUCCUUUACAGUCUGAAGUAAGGUUAGUUGUGUGAAACAAUGAAAGAAGGUCAGUUAAUUUGUUAUGUAGGCUAUAAAGUUUCGCAGAGAACGAAUAAAGUAUGGACCAGAACUUAAGCUGCAGUUUCUCUUGGUAAAGCUGUCAUUCACUGAACUGUCAGUCAAUUGCCUGAUUGGAGCAAAGCUUUGGCUGCAAAAAUUCUCAGUAGAUUUAAGUAUAAGGCUCGUUUGUAAAUGAAUUAUCAAGCCGUAUCCUCCUUUUCAGAGAUCAAAUACGAUGGAAAGGCAAUGUCGGGGCAAAUUGUGUAGAGCCAUUAGAUUUGAUGCACGCAGUUUUCAGAAUGAAGGCCCCGCGUCGUUUCCUGUAACAUCUGAAGCCACUAUGAGGUCACAUGAACUGAGUCGAGAUAGGUGACGUCAUGUUUCGUGCCUUAAUUGUUAAAGUCUGCUUAAACCGAUAUUUGCACAGCAAACAACCGUCCAUAACAAUCCUCUGCAAAAAUAUUAAAAUAUUUUUUCGUAAUUGAUCUUUCUUGUAGCAGUCAAAUCAGUCGCGCUUCAUCGUUUCCUGCACAAAUUAAUCGCGGCUGUAAGAGUUGAGUGUGAGAGCCAAAAAACCCCUCAUUUUAAAAACUUACUUUGGUACUGAGUGUUUAAAAGCGCCACGGACCUGGACGGAUACCUUGGCUGACACACAUGCUGCCUUUAUUGUUACUGGUUUACAGUCAUAAAGUUUUAACUGCAGGUACGCAUCAUCGAAGCUUCAAGCCAGAAGUCCUUACUGCCUGCAUCAACAGGGCGAUCUUCCUGAUAAUGGUGAUGCCGAUUGACCUCUAAAACGUUGUUUAACUUCUACCAGACUACACGGUGCUACAACCCACAAGACAGCCAUCUUUGUACUAUACUCCGUGAGAACCUAAAAUCAUCCUCUGAGAUUCGGAAUCAGAUUCUCAGAGAUUACAAAGAACGUCAAAUACUAUUCAGGAAUCAGGAAGGACAACAGGUAAAAUUGUAAUCUGCCGUCAUUACAUACCAGGCACUGCUUUAGUUUGAAUACUUUUUGAGUAUCAGUGUUUCUUUUUCUAUUUGCAUUCAACCCUCCAGUUGUUUGUCAGACGCCAUACUACCUGUACUUAGUUUUUGAUUUGACGUUCGACAAUCUGUACAGUCGCUCACAGUUAUAAGUAGACCUGCUGUUAUUUAUUUACGAUAUCAAUAAAGAGUGUUUUCUGAUGUAGGUAACUAUUUUGGAUCGUAGAGUGAUAGAAUAUUACAAAUAUGUACACUGGCCGUACAAAACACGUAGGCGGACCACGGGUUAACAACCCCACGUCCAGGGCGUCAUUUCGGUUCCGUCACCGGGCCUUGUUGUGCUGUGUUCUACUUGCAGGGUUUUAUCCUAGGUUCGCUGCAGUUCCUUAUAGCCGCGGGGCUCAGUCAUUUGGCUCCCAGUGUUAAAGCUCGCACUCGAAGAAAUUAAAAUGAAAAUGACUAGCUUCUUCGAGGAUGUUGCACCGUGUAAUCUUGCAAGGUUACAGAGUUACUGCCUCCAUCAAUAAGAAACCAAAUUGUUUCUUUGAUACAGAAGUCAAGUGAGAAUCAGAUGAACCGAAGAUAUGAAUAGAAACUGUUGAAAACAACUUUCUUCCAAGUAGUUACGAAUAAUAAGAUGUCCUUCGUUGAUUCUUUCUAAAUACCGAGUUACCCUCCUCUCUUUGAGAAGUUCGCCUGCAAUUCACAAGGGAGCAGCAGUUUCUAAGCCAGGCGACCUGUUUUACCCAGCUCUCCCCUACAAUUACAUAAAGUAAAUCCAGCCCACGUUAGGAGGAAGACACGAUUACAAGGGGUGACGUAACUUAAUGCCGACAGAUACCCACCGGGGCACAGUAAGAAAUGAAGUUUUCAUAAGACUAUUGAAAAAUAUAUGGCAUUGGUCUAUUGUUAUACUAAUUAGGUUCCAGGUAAGUAACCAAAUAGGAAGAAAUGACUGUCGUUAUUAAAAUAUAAUAUUUUAGUCGACUUCAGACUUGCCGUUCUGAAAGUUUUGUGCUUUUUCCAGAUUAUAUUUUUUUUAUAAUUGGCCUCUACAUCUUUAGCUCGCGUUAUUUCGACUGACAAGACGAAUAGUCUAAAUAACUCUAUAGAAUGUUACAAUUCUUUCCUUUCACAUUUUGUCUGCUUUAUAAGAUGUAAAAUAAAUUAUUUCCUAUUCCUCAUUUUACGGAAGAAUACGAUCACAGACAAUGCUAAUUGGAAUACAGUUCAAAUGUUCAAACCUGGUGUUGCUUGAAUUACAUUGUUUCCAUUAAAGAGUUCCAGUUUUUAAAAUGUAAAUAUUUAUUUAAUGUUAACAAAAACUUGACUUUUCAAUUGACAGUGUAAAAUGCUUAUUUUGGAUAUAUUUUUUUAUAUUAUAACACACAAAACACAUUUGUAAUGUAUCAUGUUGCUUUGUGUUGGUUUCUCACCGCGGAAACGCGAAGUCAAGCUGGCUUUCAACACGCGUAUGUUUAUAAAAUUGUAAUUGGUGAAUGAAAUGAUAGGGCAUUAAUUGAAUAAUUAACGUCAUGAUAUGAGGAAAGGUAGCUCAUAAUCUUUUCUCGCUACAUUUUAUUAACAGUAAUUGCUUGCAGUGGAAUAUCAAAAACCUAAUUUCAUUCUGUCAUUUAAUUGUGUAAAGUACUGGAUGAAUUAUAUUUAAGACAAUAUAGGAUUAUUUUUUCUAAUAAGUGAACAGAUUUAAUAUCUUGUCUGUUAUUACUUUAUACCUGAAAAGAGUUUCUUCACGUUAGUUUAUACAUAUUACAUUAACCGCGCGGUCUGAGGCAUCUUGCUUCGGACUGGCGAUACGGAAUGCUCGCUGGUUCGAGUCUCGGGGAAAGAAAUUUCUCAUGAGCUUUCGUCAGUGUAUGGGACCGGUGCCAACCCAGCAUCGUGAGGAAAUUGGGGAGCUACAAUCCGGUCAUGAAAGCUAGCAAUGGCUGGGGGUUCGUCGUGCUGACCACACGUCACCCUGCGUCUGGUUGGUUGAUCGUUUACCUCUGCUUAGGCAUGUGAACGCCAGCUAGUCGGCCUUGGCUCUCAGAGGGCUGUACGCCACGGAUUAUUAUUAUUAUUAUUAUUUGGAAGUAUGUAGUUCUUUUGUUUUUUCUGUCUCGAUACAUAAUGUGAGCUCUCUGUACUUGGAUCCCUCUCUUACGGAGGCAAAUGAUAAAUAUCGGAUGACUCCGAGCUGUUUUGUGGUUGACGAGGUGUGCGAUAGCCCGUACUUAGCAGCACGUAAUUUUGCCCCCCGUCUUGGAGUCGCAAGCUUUAUUUCUGACCCGGCACGUGACUAGUCUUGUAAUAGUCAGCUUAUUUGUUAGUCACACAAUUGUUUUGUUAUUAUUCAGACAAGUAUUUAAAUUUGAAGUAUCAGUACCGGUUUGUGUAGUAAAAACUUUAUUGGAAUCUGGAAACCGAAGCGACAGCAUUGAAACAUUUUGUUACUUUGGCGACGGACCGUAACUAGAUCUUUCAUCCGUUGUAGCUCUUUUAUCAGAUUACGUCUACAGUGCAGUUGACGACAUGGACCCGGCAGGAGAUGAGUGUUUGUUUGUUUGUCUUACUGAGAGUUUGGAUGAUGUGACUACACAGGACAUUCUUAACGACAGGAGAGUUUCCGGAUUGAAUCUCCGGUUAGUACUGCGUGUUCCACGUGAUAAUUGCAGUAUUUCAGAGAGCCACUGAAUUUGCUUGUUCUAAUUUUAAUUGAUACAGAGGUUCUGUUUUAAAGACGAUAGAACUGAAAUUUACUACGGUUGGUUUAGAUGUUUAAUAUUUGUUUGUUUGUUUGUUUGUUGCCCGGAAAAAUGUGAUUAAAACAUUUUUUAUACAACUUUCCUUUUCAAGGAAGAAUGUGGGUAAUGAGAUCACCAUUCUGUCUGUGUAAGUCUAUGUGUUCCAUUUUAAUUUUGAACUGAUUUUCAUCAAAUGUAUUAUAAACAUUGCCCUCGUCUUGUUUGAUUUGAUUACCCAAUUAAUAUUUGGUAAAGAGCAUAAGUUAUGGAGCUCCGCAUGAUAUCCGGUUGUUUCUUAGUUCAUAGGACCAAAAAUUCUUCUCAGAACUUUCUUCUCAGACAGCUUAAAUCUGUGUUCUUCCCUCAGGGUGCACAAGAAACUCCACACCCAUACAAAACCAUUGUCUUUCGCUCUACAAGGAAGAAUACAUUUUAAAAACAUCCAUCUCUAGGAAUGUUGAAAGUGUGUGUGUGUGUGGGGACCAUUGAAUACGUAUAGCCAUAACUAACGUCUAUCAUCAGGAAACCAUAUAUUCCGCCCACAUCUUUGUGAGCUGAUCUGAAUAAUACAACAUAAGUCCUUAGCGCUUACACACGUCAGGUGAUAUACUUACUCACACAAACAUAAAUUAUAUCAUUUUUAUAUUAUUGGGUAUUGUUCUCUCAGUUAAUACAUUAGUGCCGUGCUGUGUUUUUGGACAAUCCUUGGUUUGUCAUUUUGGUCAUUCCUAUUUCUAGUGGUUCCCUGCAUGUAGUUGGAUGCGUGACUUAAAUUUGUACACUGUACUCCUGCAUAAAUAACUUGUGUAGUUGAUAAGUUUAAUGAUAUUUGACAACCAAUAAAAGUAUCGCUUGCUCUCGUU